This 415-nucleotide unclassified non-coding RNA is filed under the name Hevea brasiliensis (rubber tree). Lineage: Eukaryota; Viridiplantae; Streptophyta; Magnoliopsida; Malpighiales; Euphorbiaceae. The record is from RNAcentral.
GGAAGGGGCCGUGGGCGUGGUCGUUCUUUCAGGUCCGAGGGCCCUGCUCAAGCAGGAGCUGCCUGAGCGGCAUCUGUGGGAAAACUAUAAUGUAGGUGUGCAGUUGAAAAAUGAUACUUGGAUGCCUGCUCUGCUUGUGUUUUGGUGAAUUUGGUGAUAAUUUAUGGGCAUUGUCUUAAAAGUUUGAAGUUGUGAAAGUGUUGGAGCCAUGGUGCUUACAGUUUUGUCUCUCUGUAGGUUGUGGUGUAGGAUUAUUUUUGUAGUUAUUAUUGCUGAUCAGGUGCUUAGCAUGCUGGGCAAGGUUGUACAUGCAUUUUUUUUUCCUAUAUAGGAAUGAUAGAGCAGUACAUUCUUUUAUUCUUAAUAACAAAAAUAGAAGCUGCAUACUGAUGUUAACGGUGCAUCGUAUUAAUUC